RNAcentral lists this transfer RNA (57 nucleotides) under Capra hircus (goat). It matches the Rfam family "tRNA", at positions 8 to 63 of the family's 71-position model. Rfam says of the family: Transfer RNA (tRNA) molecules are approximately 80 nucleotides in length. Lineage: Eukaryota; Metazoa; Chordata; Mammalia; Artiodactyla; Bovidae. The record is from Rfam by way of RNAcentral. RNAcentral also lists the same sequence under 1 other name.
UGGCUCAGAGGAUAAAGCGUCUGCCUACAAUGCAGGAGACCCGGGUUCAAUCCCUGG